AAGAAGCUGAACAGACAUCCUUCAGUCAUUCCCCAGGUUUAGUUUCAGGGAUCAAGGGUGCUGUACAGGCUGCUGCUGGACUCCAAGAUGUACCUGAGACAGGUGCUGAUCUCACAGGUUGUGCUGCUGUUGGUGGUGGAGAGUGGCUGGACUCUGUCCUGUAUACCUUGUUACAUGGCAAGAUGUCCAGAAGUACUGCAGUGUGGAGGGGGGAAAGUGCUGGAGCCGUGCGGAUGCUGCUACUAGUGCGCCAAACAGAAGGAUGAGAUUUGUGCAGGCCCGUUCGACGAUUCUGGGACAUGUGACGAGGGACUGGAGUGUCUGAGAAGUGGACGCUACAAUGAGGGAGUGUGUAGAGAAAAGACUAACGAAACCACCACACUACGUCCUGAGACCACCACACGCGACGUAGGAAAAGCACAUCAAGAUUUCAUUGAGUGGCUGAAAUCCAGGAACAUACGCAUACACUGAGGAGAAGAAGGCGCAGACGAUUCGAGUGACACUGAAACUACUCUCCAAAUGAACACUUUCUAUUAUGUCAGCAGUAGCAUUCGUGCAUGUUUGCUUUAUUUUUAUUUUUUAUGCAGCGGUUAAGAUGUGGAGUUGUCGCUACUUUUAAUUCCAAAUAAUUCCAUACGUUAUAAACCAUUCAUGCAUGUGAAUACUUCAAAACACAGAGUAUAUAUAACUCUGGUUGUAAGGGCUGCUUGAUGCCUCAUGAAUAUGAUAUACUGAUAAAAAUGAAAGUCUAAUAAAUGUGAAAUGGGUCAUGUAUCCCUGGAGAGGGUGACUGUCUGGACUGGCAUGUAGAUUAAGAUGAUCCUUUAUGUUUUAUUAACCUCAUUAUAUAAUAAACUUCAGGGAUUAUUUUGUAUGAAUGAGUUUCACUGCAUGUCUUCUUGUCCUAAACGUAUACAUUGUUCCCUUAAGUGUCCAUAAAUUGGGGCCUGAUAACAGUGUGUAUGUUUAUUAAAAAUGCAUGGGCAA
Long non-coding RNA from Pygocentrus nattereri (red-bellied piranha), 987 nucleotides. RefSeq lists it as uncharacterized. Lineage: Eukaryota; Metazoa; Chordata; Actinopteri; Characiformes; Serrasalmidae. The transcript has 4 exons. The record is from RefSeq and is a predicted model, not a curated record.